This 356-nucleotide ribosomal RNA is filed under the name uncultured fungus. Its description in RNAcentral is "LSU rRNA". It matches the Rfam family "Eukaryotic large subunit ribosomal RNA", at positions 65 to 424 of the family's 3401-position model. Lineage: Eukaryota; Fungi. The record is from RNAcentral.
CCAACAGGGAUUGCCCUAGUAACGGCGAGUGAAGCGGCAACAGCUCAAAUUUGAAAUCUGGCGCAAGCCCGAGUUGUAAUUUGUAGAGGAUGCUUCUGGGUAGCGGCCGGUCUAAGUUCCUUGGAACAGGACGUCAUAGAGGGUGAGAAUCCCGUAUGUGACUGGUUGGCGCCCUCCACGUAGCUCCUUCGACGAGUCGAGUUGUUUGGGAAUGCAGCUCUAAAUGGGUGGUAAAUUUCAUCUAAAGCUAAAUACCGGCCAGAGACCGAUAGCGCACAAGUAGAGUGAUCGAAAGAUGAAAAGCACUUUGGAAAGAGAGUUAAAAAGCACGUGAAAUUGUUGAAAGGGAGGCGCUU